CUCGUGAUCCACCCGUCUUGGCCUCCCAAAGUGCUGGGAUUACAGGCUUGAGCCACUGCACCCGGCCUAUUCUACCACUAUUUUUAAGAAAAAAUUUAAAACUAUUUUUUAACUUCCAAGUUAAGUAUUUUGCUAUUUGACAAGUUAAAAAUGUAAUAGAAAAUCAAUGUAACUUUUAUCUUUACCAGAAGUCGUAAAAGUCUAUCUAGAAAAAUUUCAGAUGUGUGAACAUGGCUUUAGAGAAGGAACUCAACUACAGACUAUAGGAAAUGUAAAACCAAGCCAGGUUCCUGUUGUGGGCCUUUAUUAUGACCUGAUGACCUAAGCUAGAGAAUCACAGCACUAACGUAUAAAUAAACCAAAUAGCAUGCAUUGGCUUUAGUUCAGAAGGGAAUUUUUGUGCAGAAAAUAAAUUGGAAGUAGGGGCUCUGGCCAGUAUAAACAGGUAAGAAAAAAGUAUGAUUCCCCACACCUCAAAAAUGACUCAUUCACGCAUCCCACCAAUCAAAGAUCCAUUUGGAAUAACAGGUUCUUCUAAAAGCUGCCAUAAAAGUUGAGCCUCCUACCACCUAUAUUUCUGUGUGAAUUGGUUUAGUCUGCAGGCAUUUUGAUUGCUUUUCUUCUAACACCUAACUUAGAUGUUGGUGAAAUAGAGGUCUUGUUUGGAGGGACUUGAAGAAGGAAAAGGAAAGGACAAUUUUAGGUCAAGGGAUAUUUUGGAAUGGCGGGAAAGUAGGAUCGUUAGGACAGCUGGAAACAGUCUUUAGUUGUUGGAAGCCAGGAAAAAGAUGUAGAGAGGAGGGCAGAAGUGGUCAAGGCUCCAUGAAAAGGAGGAUGAAGUGGUCAAAUCAGAUGUCGACCAUGCAACAAUGACGUCAGGAACCCUGCUUGGUAUACCAUCGAAUAACACGGCUAAAAUGAAAUUUUUUUCAUUUUUGGGAAGCCUCCUCUACAUACCUCCACCUUCUAACUCCAAGAAGUCAAAAAAAGCAUGUGGGGCUCCCUUGGCAUCUUUGACUUGUAGAAAGUGUAAUAUGGAGUUUCCAGACUAG
RNAcentral lists this long non-coding RNA (1052 nucleotides) under Piliocolobus tephrosceles (Ugandan red Colobus). RNAcentral's name for it is "lncRNA (ENSPTEG00000034288.1)". Lineage: Eukaryota; Metazoa; Chordata; Mammalia; Primates; Cercopithecidae. The record is from RNAcentral.